This 904-nucleotide ribosomal RNA is filed under the name uncultured bacterium. Its description in RNAcentral is "bacterial SSU rRNA". It matches the Rfam family "Bacterial small subunit ribosomal RNA", at positions 54 to 999 of the family's 1533-position model. The record is from RNAcentral.
CAUGCAGUCGAGCGGUAACACUUCGGGUGACGAGCGGCGGACGGGUGCGUAAUGUAUAGGAAUCUACCCCAAACUGAGGGAUAACUCAUCGAAAGAUGUGCUAAUACCGCAUAUGGCCUUCGGGUUAAAGCUUCGGCGGUUUGGGAAGAGCCUAUAUCCGAUUAGCUUGUUGGUGAGGUAAUGGCUCACCAAGGCAACGAUCGGUAGCUGGUCUGAGAGGAUGAUCAGCCACACUGGAACUGAGACACGGUCCAGACUCCUACGGGAGGCAGCAGUAGGGAAUCUUCCACAAUGGGCGAAAGCCUGAUGGAGCGAUGCCGCGUGCAGGAUGAAGGCCUUCGGGUUGUAAACUGCUUUUAUUUGUGAGGAUUAUGACAGUAACAAAUGAAUAAGCCUCGGCUAACUCCGUGCCAGCAGCCGCGGUCAUACGGAGGAGGCAAGCGUUAUCCGGAUUAACUGGGCGUAAAGAGUUGCGUAGGUGGUUUAGCAAGCAAAAUAUGAAAUCGUACGGCUCAACCGUAUAUCCGUGUUUUGAACUGCUAAACUUGAGCACAAUAGAGGUAACUGGAAUUCCUAGUGUAGGAGUGAAAUCCGUAGAUAUUAGGAGGAACACCAAUGGCGUAGGCAGGUUACUGGGUUGUUGCUGACACUGAGGCACGAAAGCGUGGGGAGCGAACGGGAUUAGAUACCCCGGUAGUCCACGCCGUAAACGAUGAAUGCUAGCUGUUUGAGGUAUCGACCCCUUGGGUAGCACAGCUAACGCGUUAAGCAUUCCGCCUGGGGAGUACGAUCGCAAGAUUAAAACUCAAAGGAAUAGACGGGGACCCGCACAAGCGGUGGAGCGUGUUGUUUAAUUGGAUGAUAAGCCAAGAACCUUACCAGGGUUUGACAUCCUUGGAAGCUC